AUUGAACGCUGGCGGCAGGCCUAACACAUGCAAGUCGAACGGUAACAGGAAGAAGCUUGCUUCUUUGCUGACGAGUGGCGGACGGGUGAGUAAUGUCUGGGGAACUGCCUGAUGGAGGGGGAUAACUACUGGAAACGGUAGCUAAUACCGCAUAACGUCGCAAGACCAAAGAGGGGGACCAUCGGGCCUCUUGCCAUCGGAUGUGCCCAGAUGGGAUUAGCUAGUAGGUGGGGUAACGGCUCACCUAGGCGACGAUCCCUAGCUGGUCUGAGAGGAUGACCAGCCACACUGGAACUGAGACACGGUCCAGACUCCUACGGGAGGCAGCAGUGGGGAAUAUUGCACAAUGGGCGCAAGCCUGAUGCGGCCAUGCCGCGUGUAUGAAGAAGGCCUUCGGGUUGUAAAGUACUUUCAGCGGGGAGGAAGGGAGUAAAGUUAAUACCUUUACUCAUUGACGUUACCCGCAGAAGAAGCACCGGCUAACUCCGUG
This 490-nucleotide ribosomal RNA is filed under the name uncultured bacterium. RNAcentral's name for it is "partial 16S ribosomal RNA". It matches the Rfam family "Bacterial small subunit ribosomal RNA", at positions 30 to 507 of the family's 1533-position model. The record is from RNAcentral.